This 492-nucleotide ribosomal RNA is filed under the name uncultured bacterium. RNAcentral's name for it is "partial 16S ribosomal RNA". It matches the Rfam family "Bacterial small subunit ribosomal RNA", at positions 29 to 507 of the family's 1533-position model. The record is from RNAcentral.
AGUGAACGCUGGUGGUAGGCCUAACACAUGCAAGUCGAACGGCAGCACAGUAAGAGCUUGCUCUUACGGGUUGCGAGUGGCGGACGGGUGAGGAAUACAUCGGAAUCUACUUUUUCGUGGGGGAUAACGUAGGGAAACUUACGCUAAUACCGCAUACGACCUACGGGUGAAAGCAGGGGAUCUUCGGACCUUGCGCGAUUGAAUGAGCCGAUGUCGGAUUAGCUAGUUGGCGGGGUAAAGGCCCACCAAGGUGACGAUCCGUAGCUGGUCUGAGAGGAUGAUCAGCCACACUGGAACUGAGACACGGUCCAGACUCCUACGGGAGGCAGCAGUGGGGAAUAUUGGACAAUGGGCGCAAGCCUGAUCCAGCCAUACCGCGUGGGUGAAGAAGGCCUUCGGGUUGUAAAGCCCUUUUGUUGGGAAAGAAAAGCAGCAGGUUAAUACCCCGCUGUUCUGACGGUACCCAAAGAAUAAGCACCGGCUAACUUCGUG